CCUACGGGGGGCAGCAGUGGGGAAUAUUGGACAAUGGGGGGAACCCUGAUCCAGCCAUGCCGCGUGUGUGAAGAAGGCCCUCGGGUUGUAAAGCACUUUCAGUGAAGAAGAACGCCUGGUGGUUAAUACCCAUCAGGAAAGACAUCACUCACAGAAGAAGCACCGGCUAACUCCGUGCCAGCAGCCGCGGUAAUACGGAGGGUGCGAGCGUUAAUCGGAAUUACUGGGCGUAAAGCGCGCGUAGGUGGCUUGAUAAGCCGGUUGUGAAAGCCCCGGGCUCAACCUGGGAACGGCAUCCGGAACUGUCAAGCUAGAGUGCAGGAGAGGAAGGUAGAAUUCCCGGUGUAGCGGUGAAAUGCGUAGAGAUCGGGAGGAAUACCAGUGGCGAAGGCGGCCUUCUGGACUGACACUGACACUGAGGUGCGAAAGCGUGGGUAGCAAACAGGAUUAGAUACCCCGGUAGUC
This 465-nucleotide ribosomal RNA is filed under the name Vreelandella stevensii. Its description in RNAcentral is "partial 16S ribosomal RNA". It matches the Rfam family "Bacterial small subunit ribosomal RNA", at positions 338 to 795 of the family's 1533-position model. The record is from RNAcentral. Lineage: Bacteria; Pseudomonadati; Pseudomonadota; Gammaproteobacteria; Oceanospirillales; Halomonadaceae.